Molecule: ribosomal RNA, 403 nt
Filed under: uncultured Acetobacterium sp.
Lineage: Bacteria; Bacillati; Bacillota; Clostridia; Eubacteriales; Eubacteriaceae
Description: bacterial SSU rRNA
Rfam family: Bacterial small subunit ribosomal RNA
Source: RNAcentral
GGGGAAUAUUGCGCAAUGGGGGAAACCCUGACGCAGCAAUACCGCGUGAGUGAAGAAGGUUUUCGGAUCGUAAAGCUCUGUUAUUGGGGAAGAAAAAAAGACGGUACCCAAGAAGAAAGUCCCGGCUAACUACGUGCCAGCAGCCGCGGUAAUACGUAGGGGACAAGCGUUGUCCGGAUUUACUGGGCGUAAAGGGCGUGUAGCCGGGAAGGUAAGUCAGAUGUGAAAGGUACCGGCUCAACCGGUGACAUGCAUUUGAAACUGAAAGACUUGAGUAUUGGAGAGGCAAGUGGAAUUCCUAGUGUAGCGGUGAAAUGCGUAGAUAUUAGGAGGAACACCGGUGGCGAAGGUGGCUUGCUGGACAAAUACUGACGCUGAGGUGCGAAAGCGUGGGGAGCAAACA